Molecule: non-coding RNA, 267 nt
Organism: Oryctolagus cuniculus (rabbit)
Lineage: Eukaryota; Metazoa; Chordata; Mammalia; Lagomorpha; Leporidae
Source: RefSeq, a predicted model, not a curated record
CCACUCCCCAAAUGCCAUCAACAGCCAUAGAUGGCGCAGCCUGAAGCCAGGAGCCCAGAACUCAAUCAUAGGUCUCCCACAUGGUUGGCAAGGACCUGAGUACGACAGCUAUACUGCUGCCUAAGAUCCAGAAACUCUUUCUUGUCCUGCCUGGAGCUGUUUCCUGUAUUCAUUUGGACGCUUCUUUACCUGGCCUUGACUACUCUCCUCACACUGCCUAGACUUCAACUGCACUUACUGCCAGAGUGAGACCAAACAUCUGAAAAG